Molecule: long non-coding RNA, 259 nt
Filed under: Salvia miltiorrhiza (redroot sage)
Lineage: Eukaryota; Viridiplantae; Streptophyta; Magnoliopsida; Lamiales; Lamiaceae
Description: long non-coding RNA (SMIL_LNC012082)
Source: RNAcentral
UCUCUCUCUCUCUCUCCACACUCUCUUGCCUCCCCCUCUUCUCUGCCCUCCGACGCCCUUCCACCUCCAUCCCUCUGUCCUCUCGCCGCCCUCCCACCUCCGCCCUCUCGCCUCCGCCGUCUUCCCACUGGCCUCCGCCGCCCUCCCACCUCCGCCCUCUCGCCUCUCGCCGCCUUUCCACUGGCCUCCGCCGCUCUCCCACUUCCACCUUCUCGCCUCUCGCCGCCUUCUCACUGACCUUCGCCGCCCUCCCACCUCC